CAGCAGCCACGGGAAUACGAAGGGUGCAAGCGUUAAUCGGAAUUACUGGGCGUAAAGCGUGCGUAGGCGGUGAGUUAAGUCUGCUGUGAAAUCCCCGGGCUCAACCUGGGAAUGGCAGUGGAUACUGGCUCGCUAGAGUGUGUCAGAGGGUGGUGGAAUUCCCGGUGUAGCGGUGAAAUGCGUAGAGAUCGGGAGGAACAUCAGUGGCGAAGGCGGCCAUCUGGGACAACACUGACGCUGAGGCACGAAAGCGUGGGGAGCAAACAGGAUUAGAUACCCCCGUAGUCCCUGUCUCUUAUAC
This 301-nucleotide ribosomal RNA is filed under the name uncultured bacterium. Its description in RNAcentral is "partial 16S ribosomal RNA". It matches the Rfam family "Bacterial small subunit ribosomal RNA", at positions 509 to 807 of the family's 1533-position model. The record is from RNAcentral.